UACGAAGGGGGCUAGCGUUGCUCGGAAUCACUGGGCGUAAAGGGUGCGUAGGCGGGUCUUUUAAGUCAGGGGUGAAAUCCUGGAGCUCAACUCCAGAACUGCCUUUGAUACUGAAGAUCUUGAGUUCGGGAGAGGUGAGUGGAACUGCGAGUGUAGAGGUGAAAUUCGUAGAUAUUCGCAAGAACACCAGUGGCGAAGGCGGCUCACUGGCCCGAUACUGACGCUGAGACACGAAAGCGUGGGUAGCAAACAGG
RNAcentral lists this ribosomal RNA (254 nucleotides) under uncultured bacterium. RNAcentral describes it as "partial 16S ribosomal RNA". It matches the Rfam family "Bacterial small subunit ribosomal RNA", at positions 524 to 776 of the family's 1533-position model. The record is from RNAcentral.